This 809-nucleotide ribosomal RNA is filed under the name uncultured bacterium. RNAcentral's name for it is "bacterial SSU rRNA". It matches the Rfam family "Bacterial small subunit ribosomal RNA", at positions 350 to 1170 of the family's 1533-position model. The record is from RNAcentral.
AGCAGUGGGNNAUAUUGCACAAUGGGCGGAAGCCUGAUGCAGCAACGCCGCGUGAGGGAUGACGGCCUUCGGGUUGUAAACCUCNUUUAGCAGGGAAGAAGCGAGAGUGACGGUACCUGCAGAAAAAGCGCCGGCUAACUACGUGCCAGCAGCCGCGGUAAUACGUAGGGCGCAAGCGUUAUCCGGAAUUAUUGGGCGUAAAGAGCUCGUAGGCGGUUUGUCGCGUCUGCUGUGAAAUCCCGAGGCUCAACCUCGGGCCUGCAGUGGGUACGGGCAGACUAGAGUGCGGUAGGGGAGAUUGGAAUUCCUGGUGUAGCGGUGGAAUGCGCAGAUAUCAGGAGGAACACCGAUGGCGAAGGCAGAUCUCUGGGCCGUAACUGACGCUGAGGAGCGAAAGGGUGGGGAGCAAACAGGCUUAGAUACCCUGGUAGUCCACCCCGUAAACGUUGGGAACUAGUUGUGGGGACCAUUCCACGGUUUCCGUGACGCAGCUAACGCAUUAAGUUCCCCGCCUGGGGAGUACGGCCGCAAGGCUAAAACUCAAAGGAAUUGACGGGGACCCGCACAAGCGGCGGAGCAUGCGGAUUAAUUCGAUGCAACGCGAAGAACCUUACCAAGGCUUGACAUAUACGAGAACGGGCCAGAAAUGGUCAACUCUUUGGACACUCCUAAACAGGUGGUGCAUGGUUGUCGUCAGCUCGUGUCGUGAGAUGUUGGGUUAAGUCCCGCAACGAGCGCAACCCUCGUUCUAUGUUGCCAGCACGUAAUGGUGGGAACUCAUGGGAUACUGCCGGGGUCAACUCGGAGGA